CGAGAAGACCCUGUGGAGCUUUAGACACCAGGGCGGAUCAUGUUAAGACACCCCCCCAAGGGUAUAAACAUAAUGAAUCCCGCCCCAUGUCUUUGGUUGGGGCGACCUAGG
Molecule: ribosomal RNA, 111 nt
Filed under: Upeneichthys vlamingii (southern goatfish)
Lineage: Eukaryota; Metazoa; Chordata; Actinopteri; Syngnathiformes; Mullidae
Description: partial 16S ribosomal RNA
Source: RNAcentral